CUCAAAUAAUAGUCUCUAAUUUUUAAUAAAUAGGCAAACAGUUGGUUCCACAAUCCAAAAAUACCACAAGUCAAAAUAAAACACACGGAACUAUGGCUUAGAGUUACCUUAUAGUGAAAUGGAUGUCACCUCUGCAUGCAAAGCAUCGAAAAGACAAGAGAAACAAUCUUCGAAUUUUCAACCCAAGUCCAACAAGGUGCCAUGUGGCAGUCUCUGAGUAGCUUACAUUCUAGUCAAAGGCUUAUGUGUCAAUUAGAGAAGUCGUUCGCUUGUCAAGCACGUCUUCCGUGGCGUUUGACUUGUCGUUGACACCGCAUACGAGGUGUGCUUAUGUGGCAACAUUUGUCUGUUAUAUUGUGCAACGUGUCAACAUAUGCUGACAAAGCGCCUGUGUUGCUAUCAUCAUUGCCACGUGUCAUUCGCUGAAUGGGUAACAUGGUUUACAACGGUAAUGCCUUGUCACGUCGCAUAGUGCGCAUAUAUCUUCGUCAGAGUGCCAACAUGCGUCAACAUGCGUUGGUUUCACCACCCUCAUCCAGUGACCAGUGACAUUUUCUGGUAUUUUUUUUUUACCCCAUUCGAUGCCUCUUGCGUGGUUGAAUGCAGUAAUGGGGCAUACUCACUCAUUAUUACUGUCAUUUGGGUGGUGGACCCACCCAAAGCUCACAGGGGUCAUUCAUUAAUCUCUUCCGCAGCCACCUCCAUCGAAGGGGAAAUUGUCUCUCCUCAAUUUUUUCCUCUCAUCAUUUUCCAUUUGCAGGAGCCCUAAUUCAAGUUUAUUAGGCUCAAAUUGUUCCUUAUAGUCCAAAAGUCUAUGAUCGCGUGCUAGGCCAGCGCGAAGCCAUUGCACAUUUCAGAGGUUGCAGUACGUGCAACAUAGUGUUGUUGACAGUAGCAUGACAUCGUGGUGACGCGUUGCACAUGCAUGCUUGUCCAGGCUGACCAAUCGUUUGGUACUUGGUUUUGCUGGCGAGUUUUAAAUUGUUAUUGGACCUGGCGCCAACAUAGCUCUAAGCCUGGCCUCACGAUUGAGCUUAGCUUGCACGGGCUUGAGCUCUAGUCUGGCUCCUGAACUUCAUUUUUAUUUAAAAACUUGUCAGAAAUUCAUCUCAACUCCAAAAAUUAUAAAAACCCGAUCUUGAAAUUUCCAAAAGUCUAAAUUUUAUCUUUUAGCUAUUUUGCAUUAGAUUUGAGAUAUUACAAUCCGAUAAUUAACAGGACCAGUUAUUAAUUUAUAAAUACCUUACAUAUUUUAGUAGAAAGCUUAUCGUAAUUAUUAUGGGCAACUGAAAAUUUAUAAAAAUGUUGACCAUUUUAUUCCUUUCGCCUUUAUUGUUUUACUGGUUUUACAUCACUGAGGAGACGCCACGAAGCAGUUUUUGCCUGAAUCAAGAACUCCUCUCAGCUCUGUAUUCAGCUCUGUAUUCAACUAGAAGCCUGCCAAUCAAACCAAACACAACGUGAACAUAACAAUUCAUUCAUGUUGUCAUUCCCGCAUGUCAAAACCCAUAAGCAACCAGACUCUCGACUCCAAUAUUCCAAGCAAGUUUUAAAUUUUAUCAAAGUCAUUGCUGAAUGCCAAGCAAGUUUCCCGAAAGAAGAUCAACAACAAAACUCAUCCUUUUUGUCAUUAAAUAAAAAAUUUUAUCAAAGUUCUAAAUUAACAACUCAAAAUGAUUUUCGACUGCAAUAUUCCAAUUUCAGUCUAAUGGUCUUGAACAAAAUUAGACCAAUGUUAUGUGACAAAAAAUAAAUGAAGAGUGAAAUACAAUAGGGUAAAAAUUGAUACCACAGCCAAUACAUGCAACUUACCAUAUCAAAGGCUCCUGAAAAGCCACAACAGAAGUCAUCAACAUUGCUAAUGUGUUUUCGAUAACUAUUUUAGCAGUAGCAGCACGUUGACUGCCAAAAAUGACCAUAGUCACAAAGGCUGGUUCCUUCUAUG
RNAcentral lists this unclassified non-coding RNA (1945 nucleotides) under Hevea brasiliensis (rubber tree). Lineage: Eukaryota; Viridiplantae; Streptophyta; Magnoliopsida; Malpighiales; Euphorbiaceae. The record is from RNAcentral.